This 77-nucleotide transfer RNA is filed under the name Streptomyces brasiliensis. Its description in RNAcentral is "tRNA-Gly". The record is from RNAcentral. Lineage: Bacteria; Bacillati; Actinomycetota; Actinomycetes; Kitasatosporales; Streptomycetaceae.
CAGGUCGGUAGUGCAAUCGGCGCUAGAGCACCCAAGCUUCCCAAGCUCAGAGCGCGGGUUCGAUUCCCGUCACCCGC